GGAGCCGCGGCCGUUUUGUGCAGACAAAGCGUCUCCCGUGCUUAAUUUGCAGGCGCGGCGGAGGGAAAUGUAGGACCUCAAGUGUGGCUCCCGGUAACAGCCCUUGACAUCUAGCUGCAUCCUCUUUCCCCUAAAAUGCCAGAUUUCAGAUGCAUGGGUUUCAGUGGAACUCUCUGUAAUUGUUCGGCGGUGAAUGAAAUGCACUCUGUACCUGCUCAAAGACAUUUUCUUCCGUCCCUCUUCUAGUCUCUUCAGGAGAGUGGGAAUCAAGUGUAUGAGAAUAGAUGAAAGCACCCCCCCAUCUAAUUAGGCAGGAUAAUUUGUACUGUCAUUUUGAAAGCAGGAGGGGAAAAAUAUUUAGGGGGCAAAAUGUCUAGAGACAUCCAUAAAAUGGGUUUUGUGGAGAUUUCAAGGAACGCAUACAAAAGGUGAAAACUUUCUGAAUUGAGUCUUUUUUUCUUUACAAAAAAGGACCAACACAAAUUUUAGCCAUGGGUUUGCCUUUUGGCAAACUACACAGAUCAUGUAUUUUAGGGAAACGUUUCCACAUGUAUGCAUCUGUGGAAAUUCAUUCAAAAGCGACCUUGUUGGUGUAAAUUAUAUUACAUCAGUUCUGGCUCAUACAUUUACAUAUGGUCCGUGCCUGACUGAUUUAUGUAAUGAACAAGUUUUCAGCUUCUAGUGGAUUGAAUGCGGUAGUGAUGAGGACCCUGCAAAAAUGUCCUGCCCUCAGUAGGAAAGUGUGUCAUCUGUGUAUGGUUUAGGCAUUAGCCAGAAGAUUUUUCUAGAGUAUGGCCAUGGUCAGAUUAGUGGUGUCCAGCUGCCCAACUGUUCCAGGACAUAGAUGUGCAAAAUGCUUUCUAGAUGUUAAGUAAAAUAGUCCUCUUUUUUUUUUUAAAUGAUAUUUAUUAAAGUUUCAAAGAAUACAAAAAAUACAGAAUACAGAUAAAAGAGUAAAGUUUUUAAAAUAUAACAAAAAAGUAAAGAAUAAAAAAGAAACAUACAAAGUAAAACAGUUAAAAAGACAUUGAUUUUCCAAACCUAUCUUCCCUGCACUUAUUUCCCCGGACCUCCUCAUACCUCCCUUUUUUGUAUUCCAGUUCAGUUUGUUAGUUCAGCAAACCCUUACCAUUAAACUUUUACCCAAUUGUAAACCUUUUUUCAUAUCUCUUAAAGCAUUACAGCUAAAAACCUCUUAGUUUCUAUCCAACAUCCUUCUAAGAUUCCUGACUCGCAGCAACCUCGGGUAGUCCUCAAAGCUUCAUAGUCAGAAAAAAAUGUGGCGCAGAGGGGGUGGAGGAGAAUGGUGCAAGGAUUGUUGGACAUAAACACAACCCUGUGUUUCCCCUUGGAUGCACAUUGCUACACACAAAUUUAGAGAUGUGCCCUCUCUUCAGAAGGGCAGAAAAACACAAACCUUUUCUAACAAUGCACACCUGUCCUGCUGUGUGUAGCAGAAUCUUCCGCCUGCACAGCUUGGGUAGAAUGCUGUGGAUUUUGGCACCAUUCUUUUGUAAUCCGGAAUUUUCCAUCAGCUACUUUGCUUGUUUUGCAGAGGUGGCGGUGGGAGUGAAUCAGCGUUCAUUUCGGAACUUUGAUUUUGUUCCUCCUUCAGCACAGACAAUUUGAGCUCUGUAAUUACAGCAAAUUACAUUCUUAAAUUGACAUGGAGCUUUUGAGCAAGGGUCUAGCUAGCCCGAAGGCUGGUUGACAGGAUAAACAGCCCAGUUAUCAAGAAGGCAAUGUGGCAGGGUGCCAUUGGUGAUCUCAGGAUACCAUUUCAGAUUUCAGAGUGGGGUAGGGUUUUUUUUGGGGGGGGUGUUAUGGCAUGGAAAAGAAGAUUCAGUAGGGUUCAAAGUCUGGCUAUUCACUACCACUGCAAAUGGCAAUUGAUUUCAACCACAUACAUCUGGGAUUUUGUAAGAAAAAAGUAUUUAGCCAUCACUGUACUUGUUUUAUCAUUGCACUCACCCCAUCUCCAUUAUUUUGGUUAAAGCAAAGGAAUGUAUGCUUGUGGCACAACAGCCUUUAAAUAUUCUGUGAAUAAAGAUAAGUGACUUUAAACACCAGGGAAGGGUGCAUCUUUCCUGAAUGUUGCCCCAAUGGUGUCAUGAAGUUGAGAGAUUGGCAGGUUUUGAAACCUACAGAACAUAUGGUGGGACUUGGGAGGAUUGUUACAAAGAACACCUUCCACACCACAGUUUACUGUGGAUUUGGUUCUGUUCAGGCACUCAAGCUUUGUGAAAUGUCCCUAUGGCACUGUCCUCAUCAAAAUGCUAUUCCAUAUCCCCACCCCGAAUUUAAUCCCAAUGUAUCCAGCAUUGGUCCUUAUUAAUUUUUUUGUUGGAUUAGCAUUUUUAUGUAUUGUGUACAGCUAGUGUUUUAAAUUUUCUUUGGCUUUAAAUUCUUUUCAUGUGCUUUUUUUUGUCUAGUCACUUUGAGACUUUUUACUGUAAAAAGCAACUAAUAAAUAAAAAAAAAUAGUAAGAGUAAAACUUCAAUGUUGUACAAAGGUAAUCGCUCCAGCAGGGCAAGUAUUUUGUCUUGCCAGACGGAACAUUUCCCCUUCUCCCCCCCCCCAUGUGCUGUUUCAGGGUUCUCCUGACACCCCCCCCACCAUGGGGGGGGUGUUUUGCAGAAGGAGAGAAGAGGAAAGCCAAGUUGCACAAGAGGAAGUCCUUGCACAGGUUUCUGCUGACAGGACUGUUUAGCUGAAUCUGCCCCCCCCCCAAAUAAUAAUUUACCAUUUCGCUUUAUUAUUUUAAAAUGAAGCACUUCCAGAUGACCUGUUUAUUGAGCAUUCAUCCUGAUUUGUUUGAGGGCGAGGCUAGAUGACACUGCGUUGAACACAGACGGAUUUAUAAUGGUGCAAACGUUGCAAUUGCAAGAGGGCCUGUGCCUGCAAGGGAUUCCAGACAUAGAGAUUUCAAUGAAAAAGAAGAAACAACCCUUUAGCCCUAGUAGAAGGAAAGUUACAAAGCAAAGUGUAUAGUUUCCGUUCAUUCUGAUUGGACAGUGGGCAGAUCCACACCAUAUAUAUAUAUUUACAAAUUUCCAAAAAUCAUAUAACAUACUUUCUUAUCUUAUACAAUGUUUUGGACUUCCAUCAACCGCAUCUGAAGAUUUUUCAGUCUUUAUCACUUAAUCUACAUUUCUUAAUUUCUCUAUUGCUUUUAAUUAUCCUUAACUAAUAACUCUCUUCAUAAUCUCUGCAAUACGUCACAUAAUCCUCCUUACAGAACUUCUUGGAGUCCUACUAGCGUAAUCUGUUUAUUACAAUUGCUUUUCAAAUAGUUCAAAUAUUUCCUCCAGUCCUCUGAGAAUCUCUGAUCCCGCAGGAUUUGGAUCCUUCCUGUCAUCUUAUCUAAUUCUGCAUAGUCCAUUAAUUUUGUCUGCCAUUUUUCUUUCGUCGGUAGGUCUUCUUGUUUCCAUUUCUGUGGCAGAUCCACACCAUAUAUUUAAUGCACAUUUAACGCCCCAGAGGAUCCUGUGAAUUGUAGUUUGUUAAUGUAACUGAGAAUUGUAGCUCUAUGCAAGGACAACUACACUCCCCAGGAUUCUGUGGGGGGAUUUGUGUGCUUUAAAUGUGCAUUCGUUACGCUUUAAAUGCAUGGUGUGGAUUUGCCCUUAUUUGUGGGGAGGUUAGACACUGGGGCCCAUCCAGACUUCCUUUUGUGCUGUGUUUCUGGGCUUUAAAGCUCCAUGUCUGAGCUUUCCCUAGGAAAACCAGAGUAAAAGGAUGUCUGGAUGAGCCCAGCGCUGUGUUAUCCCCACAUUUUCCAGUGCAUUUUCCUCUCACUUUUCUUAUUUGGGUGUGCAUGUUUGUUUUGCAGGAUCUCCCAAUCCACUGUAACUGUGAGAUUUGAAUUUGCCAGUAUGCGACUGAAUCCCACCCCAAAAUAAUGGCAGUCUGGAAGUGCCAUUAGCGAAUUUUCUGCAGAAACAGUAAAUCCAGAUUCAGCUGGAAAAGCACAUGGGGCGUUUUGAUGAAGAUGGUGCUGUGCAAGGGCUGUGCAAGACUUGUGUGCGUGAAUAGCACCGAGACCGCAAUGAACUGUACGUGAGGAAAGGCUAGGAAGCAGAGAACCGAGAAGGCGAGGAAGGACGGAGCAGAGGACAGGCUCAGCCAAAGAGGUGUGGGUCACCGAAGAAGGAGGGUGACAACUUAUACUCCAUUCUGAGCUGAUGGGAAGACAAUGAGCCAUAACGGGUCCAUGUAGCCAAUCGUGGACUCACAUGGCAAGCGGUGUGCUCUGUAACAAUGCGUAACAACAUCGCAAUGCCUCUGUGCCUCAGGAAAUAACACAUGGAUGAAUGUGGCCAAUAAGACAUCGCACAGCACAUGGAAUGACAUUGCAUAAUGACACAUGAUGUCAAGGUGGUACUGAGAGUCGAGGGCUUCCGAAGGAUUCAAACAAUCCACAAUUCAAGGGUAGGCGGGUAGGGAGCUUUUAUUUUGGGGGGGGGAGAGGGACAUGGAUUCAUGCUAGUGAGUGAAUGGCAGAGUACAUUCCCCAGUAUAGAGCAGGAAGCUCGUUGGUAGAUUUGUUUGAAUCUCUUUACUUAAGCAAUCUAAUCUGGCUUGUCCAGAUUGGGUUUGUUCCUGGUAAAUCACCUUUGUUCCCUCUUAAAAAGAAUAAAGACACAACAGUCUUCUAUUAAAAGUAAUGAUAAGAAGUUUACUCACAUUCAGUUCACAGUAGACGCGGGUGGUGCUGUGGGUUAAACCACAGAGCCUAGGACUUGCCGAUCAGAAGGUCAGCGGUUCGAAUCCCCACGACAGGGUGAGCUCCUGUUGCUCGGUCCCUGCUCCUGCCAACCUAGCAGUUUGAAAGCACAUCAAAGUGCAAGUAGAUAAAUAGGUACUGCUCCAGCAGGAAGGUAAACGGCGUUUCCGUGCGCUGCUCUGGUUCACCAGAAGUGGCUUAGUCAUGCUGGCCACAUGACCCGGAAGCUGUAUGCCGGCUCCCUUGGCCAAUAAAAAGAGAUGAGCACCGCGACCCCAGAGUCGGCCACGACUGGACCUAAUGGUCAGGGGUCCCUUUACCUUUACCUUUUAGGUUCCCUGAAGGCAGGCUUUAGCUUGUAGUUACAGUGGUACGCUUCAGGUUACAGACUCCACUAACCCAGAAAUAGUACCUCGGGUUAAGAACUUUGCUUCAGGAUGAGAACAGAAAUUGUGCUCCGGCGGCGCGGCAGCAGCAGGAGGCCCCAUUAGCUAAAGUGGUGCUUCAGGUUAAGAACAGUUUCAGGUUAAGAAUGGACCUCCAGAACAAAUUAAGUUCUUAUCCCGAGGUACCACUGUACAGAAGAGAGAGUGGGUUCAUCCCAUGAUACAUCAAGAUGGGAUAAAACGAAGAAGGAGGGAAGAUGGCUGUGUGACCAGCUCUUUUAUGGGGUCUUCCAGGGUCACGCCCAUCUACCUGGUCACAUGCAGGGGGAGGAUGCUCCAGAGAGGUGUGAGUCCAGCAUUAAAAAUCUGCACAAUUAAUCCUGGCAUCGAGUUAAGACCGAUUCAUUCUACAGACUUUGUGGAUUUAACAUCACACCAACUUUCUCCUCCUUACCUUCCCAAUUUUAUUUAACUUCUCAUCUGAUAUCCUACAGGUCUGGCAGGGUUUUGAAGGGCUUACACAUGCCUGGAAAGCCUGUUUAUUAGAAACAACAUUAGAAGGCUCGGUUCAAGCAGCAGGCGAUGAGACUUCCUUCAUGGCAGAUUCAGCCAGGGGCAAAACUCGGCUUUAUUUCACCCGGGUCAAGGACUGAGUUUGGCACCCCUGCCACGCACAUUUGCGUACACACAUACACAGACUGAGAGACUCGGAGGCCUCUGGAGGCUUCACCUGGGGCUAAAAACCUGGCUAGAUCACAGCUACAGCUCUGCCUUCAACCCAGGGGCAUAGGAUUUAUUUUAGGGAGGGUCAGGUUUUAUGUUGUGGGGUCAGAACCAAGUUAUGUGCAACACAAUUGGUCAGUUAGUUAAGGAUUUUUAUUUAUUUACUUGAUUUUGGUGGGGGGGGGGGCAGCUGCCCCCUCCUGGCUACACACGUGCCUUCAGCUCUGAAGUAUGCUUCAAGGUAAAAGUGGAUUACAACCCUUGCUCCCUGGCCUGCAUUGCAAACAGGAGAAAAAGCAUUAUAUUACCCCUCUGCAUCUUUUUGCAGAUUGUGAGGACAAAAGGAGUUAAAGCAUGCUACCUGGGACUUUGUUUGCAUGGCAAUCCUGAGUAACAGCUCUCUGCCUUGUGUCCUUCACAGGCAUGUAUACAUAGGCAACUGUGCUUGUGCACCCUGAGGCAAAAACAGGCGUUCAGACAGGCACAUCCUAUCAGUCAUGGAGAUAUUUGAUAGGAAUCCUUUUGGGAAUCAAAGUGAGGCUCAGGGUUUGUGCAUGCUGUGGGAGUGCAUGAGCGUGUGCGAGCAAGUGUAUGUGCGCGCGCAUACACACACAAACCACGACAGCAAGAGUGUGUGAGCAAGCAUUAGUAUGCGCCCUUUAGCUGCCAAGGGGAAAUUGUGCAGCUUAAGAAUUGCAGCUCUGUCCUUCACUGGGAUACACGCACAGACUGCAUGCCCAGGUGGCAAAGAACCACGUUUUCUCUGGAUUUUUUUUUAAACAGAGGUGGAUAGGAUCCAUUGAGCCCAGGCAAGACACUGCAAGAAGUCAAGGAAAAUCUUGAAUUGUGUGUUUGUAGACCACAUCUUAGGGAUGUCUUAACCCAAGGUACUACUUCCGGGUUAGCAGAGUCUGUAACCUGAAGUGUUUGUAACCCGAGGUACCACUGUAUUAUUAAUUAAUAGGACGUCCCUAAUUUCAUCAGGGGACGCGGGUGGCGCUGUGGGUUAAACCACAGAGCCUAGGACUUGCCAAUCAGAAAGUCGGCGGUUCGAAUCCCUGCGACGGGGUGAGCUCCCGUUGCUCGCUCCCUGCCCCUGCCAACCUAGCAGUUCGAAAGCACAUCAAAGUGCAAGUAAAUAAAUAGGUACCGCUCCAGCAGGAAGGUAAACAGCGUUUCCGUGCACUGCUCUGGUUUGCCAGAAGCGGCUAGUCAUGCUGGCCACAUGACCCGGAAGCUGUACACCGGCUCCCUCGGCCAAUAAAGCGAGAUGAGCGCCGCAACCCCAGAGUUGGCCACAACUGGACCUAAUGGUCAGGGGUCCCUUUACCUUUACCUAGAGACAUCUUAACUCUUAGAUAGCCAACACAGCACCCUUGAAAUCCUGUUAGACUCCAGCUCCCAUCAGUCCCAGUCAGCAUGGCCAAUUGUUAAGGAAGAUGGGAACUGUAGUCCAGCGACACGGUUUGGGGAGGGGGCAGACCAUGUUGGCUACCUCUGUCUUAACUAUAAACUGUUACAGACACAUCCCUGGAUUUGGUAGCAACAACUUUAGGGGCAAGAGAACAUAAUGCCAUGCCUACACAAGCUUUUUAUGUGCUGACAGCUUGGGUCUUGCUGGAAGGAGGGUAUACCAUGUUGCAUGGCAUCCCUUCCCUGCUGGAACAAUGUUCCUCAGUCCAGUGUAUCUUGUGGGGUGAUGGUGGGAAAUCAGGACAGCUGUUGAAUGGUUUGUGGGAAGUGAGCAACAUCUGGGCACUGACACCUCUCCCCCAAGCCGAGUGAACAUACAACAAUAUGAUGGUGAUGAUGAUCGUGGUAAUACUUAACAUUCCUAAAGGGCUUCCAAGUAUUAUACAUGCUUUGAUUCUGUGCACUAUCUUGCUGCAGUCCUUACAACAAAGAUGUAAGGAGGGUGAUUCUUGGCAGCCACAUCUUGCAAAUUUGGGGAUGGAGAAGUGAAGCUCAGAGGGAGUAGCUUCACUAAGGCAAUCUGGUAAGCUCUUGCUAGAGGUGAGAUUGGAACCAGAGACGAUGACCUGAUUCAUAGCUCCAUCUCUUAGUCACUACACUACCAGCUCUCAGAGAUUGUCUGCAUUUCAGAAUGUGAAGGUUGUCCUCCAAACCACUUUGCUGAUCUGGAGCUGUAUGAGGGCUAGGCGUAAACUAGAGGACCUUGAGCACUCCUUCUUGACAGUGUACACAUGAACAGGGGGUCACCAACUUUUGAAGGUUCACGGGCACCUUUGGCUUUCUGAACGAGUGUCAGGUGUGCUCCCUGUUUGGAUCGCUUCCCAUGGGGACAGAAAGUGUGUGCACAUGCGCACUUGGCUUUUCUGAGCCAGAUUUGUAAAAGCCGGGUCCAGCAGAAUUAAUAUGAGCCUUGAAAACGAUGCAGUGGCAAAAAGGAGGAAGUGGGAAAGAACGUCACUCUUCCAACUUCGUCCUAUGUACUUUGCAAGGAGGAGAAAGCUAACCAUUCUUUAAAUAAAUAAAUAAAUCCCUGCUUGUCACGCUCCCUUCGCAGUAGCACAGGAGUCCUUUUCUCCCAUUGCUCCGUGUGAUGAGUUCUCCCAACUGCUUGGGCUCCUUGGUUCCAUAAUAUGGAAGCAACUGCAGAAAGAGGCUUCAGGGCAUCAUUUUAUUACAGGUCGGGCUUCUUAACGCUAAGAAGAGUCCUGCUGGAUUAGGCCAGUAGCCCAUCUAGCCCAGCACACCGCCCUCAAAACGGCUAACCAGAUGUAUUUGGGAAGCCUGCAAGCUGGACAUGAACGCAACAGCACUCUCCCCCUCUGGCCAUUUCCAGCAACUGGUGACCAUAGCUGUCAACUUUCAGAUUUGAAAAUAAGGGAUCAGCAGCCCCGAAAAUAAGGGAUCAGCAGCCUCACCUGUCCCAGGGACAGUCUACGGGAUAUCUAACAAUCCGGGAUAGCAGUGGGAAGCAGCAGGAAACGGCGCUGGAAUAAGGGAAUUUCCUGCAAAAAAAGGGAAGGUUGACAGCUAUGUUGGUGACAGUGGAGGCAAGACGCAUCCAUCAGAGCGAAUAAUCACUGAUAGCCUUGCAGACCCUGCAAGUGUCCCUAUUUUCCAGGCACAGUCCCAGAUAUACAGAAGCCGUCCCGGUUUCUGAUUUGAUCCCAGAAUGUCCCACUUUUCUUAGGACGCCCCUAUUUUCAUCAGAUAAAUGUUGGAGGGUAUGGAGUUAUCCAACCCUGGAGCCAAGGAGAUAUGUACCUAUAAAACCUUUCAAAGACUUCUGAAGGCAGCUCUGUAUAGGGAAGUUUUUAAAAAAUGUUUCAUGUUUUAUUAUGUUUUUAUAUACAGUGGUACCUCGGGUUAAGUACUUAAUUCGUUCCGGAGGUUCGUACUUAACCUGAAACUGUUCUUAACCUGAAGCACCACUUUAGCUAAUGGGGCCUCCUGCUGCCACUGCUGCGCCACCGCUGCACGAUUUCUGUUCUCAUCCUGAACCAAAGUUAUUAACCUGAAGCACUAUUUCUGGGUUAGUGGAGUCUGUAACCUGAAGCGUAUGUUACCUGAGGUACCACUGUAUGUUGGAAGCCACCUAGAGUCCUAUUCAUUACAGUGGUACCUCUGGUUACGUACUUAAUUCAUUCUGGAGGUCCGUUCUUAACCUGAAAGCAUUCUUAACCUGAAGUACCACUUUAGCUAAUAGGGCCUUCUGCUGCCGCCAUGCCACUGGCGCACAAUUCCUGUUCUCAUCCUGAGGUAAAGUUCUUAACCCGAGGUACUACUUCCGGGUUAGCAGAGUCUGUAACCUGAAGUGUUUGUAACCUGAAGUGUUUGUAACCCGAGGUAAAACUGUAUUAUUAAUUAAUAGGACAUCCCUAAUUUCAUCAGAGAAAUGUUGGAGGGCAUGGCCUUAUCCUCCAUGCAUUUGCUUAAUCCUCUUUUGAAGCCAUCCAAGCUGAUAGCCGUCACUGCUUCCUCUGUGAGUGAGUUCCAUAGUUAUUCACGGUGUGAAUAAGCUCUUCCUUUAGUCCUCCUGAAUCUUCCAAGAGUGGGUAUUCCCUGAGUGUUAUUAUGACAGAGGGAGAAAACCAUUUCUCUAACUGCUUUCCCCAUGCCAUGCAUGAUUUUAUACACUGCUCUCAUGCUCCCCCUCUUACCUGCCUUUGCUCUGAACUUAAAAAAAACACACCAACCCGAAUAUUGUAACCUUUCCUCAUAAGGGAGUUGUUCCAUCCCCUUGAGGCAGUGCAAUCAGAGAGAGAAGUUGAAAGGAGUAAUAAAGGUAAAGCUGCCCUUUGAUCAUCUCUGGGUUUUUAAAACCCUGUCAUGAAUAUCUCCUGCAAAACUAUACAGUAGGGGUAGGAAACCUGUACCAUAGGAAGUUUCUCCUAAUAUUCUGUUGAAAUCCACGCUUCUGUGUGGAGGUAGGGCAUCUGUUCUCAUGCAGAAGGUCCUAGUCAUAAUUUACAUGCUUCUAGUUGUGCUUUUAGGGACGCAGGUGGCACUGUGGGUUAAACCACAGAGGCUAGGACUUGCCGAUCAGAAGGUCGGCGGUUCGAAUCCCCGCGACGGGGUGAGCUCCUGUUGCCCGGUCCCUGCUCCUGCCAACCUAGCAGUUCGAAAGCACGUCAAAGUGCAAGUAGAUAAAUAGGUACCACUCCAGCGGGAAGGUAAACGGCCUUUCCGUGUGCUGCUCUGGUUCGCCAGAAGCGGCUUAGUCAUGCUGGCCACAUGGCCUGGAAGCUGUACGCCGGCUCCCUUGACCAAUAAAGCGAGAUAAGCGCCACAACCUCAGAGUCGGUCAUGACUGGACCUAAUGGUCAGGGGUCCCUUUACCUUUACCUUUAGUUGUGCUUUUGUGACCCACCUUUGAUGAGGCCAAUAUCCAGCUGUGGGUCCUGACAGUGGCGUAGCCUGGCUUGCUGGCACCCAGGGCAUGCGUAAAUGGAGUAUAAAUGGAGCCCAUUGUGCCAGCCCAGCCCUCACCAUCAAUGGUGCUGGAGCGAGCCCUCACCAGAGGAAAAAAUGGGCCCGCGCUGCCAGACCGCACGGGGGGAGCCCGGCCGGAUGAUGCAACCCUGGGAGGCAAAUCCCCCUGAAGCCCGCGGAGACAAGUGGUGGGCUGGGCCACUCUGGGAUUGCCCCUUGCCCGCCUCCCUCCCUCCACGUCCAACUGGGGACUGCGUCAAGCAAGGAGCAAGUGAGUGCUGGCCUGGCAGCCAUUCAGCAAGGGGGCCAGGGUCGCAGAAGUGAGGCUAGGCUGGUCUCCGGGGCCCAGAGACCCCCCCAGCGCCAGACAGGGAAGGACGGGGAGCUGGGGACAGUGCUUGCCAGGAUGUGCCUAGCUGGGACAGGGAUCCCUGCAGAAGCCAGUGCCUGUGUGUGGGCACCUGGUUCAUGCCCCCUCAAAAUUGCACACCCGGGGCUAUGGCCCCCCGUCCUCCCAUGCUAUGCCCCUGGCCCUGGGACCAGUUGAAGACUAAAAAGGUAAAGGGACCCCUGACCAUUAGGUCCAGUUCUGCCCGACUCUGGGAUUGUGGCGCUCAUCUAGCUUUAUUGGCCGAGGGAGCCGGUGUACAGCUUCCGGGUCAUGUGGCCAGCAUGACUAAGCCGCUUCUGGCGAACCAGAGCAGCGCACAGAAACGCCGUUUACCUUCCCGCCGGAGCAGUACCUGUUUAUCUACUUGCACUUUGACGUGCUUUCGAACUGCUAGGUUGGCAGGAGCAGGGACUGAGCAAUGGGAGCUCACCCCAUCGCGGGGAUUCCAACCGCCGACCUUCUGAUCGGCAAGUCCUAGGCUCUGUGGUUUAACCCACAGCGCCACCCGCGUCCCUAGUUGAAGACUAGUGAUGUACAAAAAAUUGAGCUGGACCAAAGGCCUUGACUUGGUAUAACACAGUUUCCUAAGAUCUAAUCCUUCCCUCUGGAUCUCUUCAGGGAGAUGGCAGGUUAUUUACAGCCAGUGUAACAAGGACUUCAGCAAAAUCUAUAGUAUAGCUUGAAAAAGGCACAAAGAAGGCAAGAGGGAUGCCAUUGUGGUUAAGCGUCACACAGUCCCUUGUUUAUUUAUUACUUGCCCUCCUCCUGCAAGGUCCCAGGUGGGUCACAACAUUUAAGUGCACAAUUAAAAACAGUUUAAAACAAGUUGCAAUCAUAACAGUGGGUGGGUCCUGAAAAGAUAUGCAAACCUCAAGUGUCAAAAGCCAGGUCAAGGAUAAAGGUCAAGUAGACUUCCUCCCCCCGCUAAAACUAUCUUCCAAGUGACAUCAAAUGAAGAGAUGUAGAAUUAUCUGCCCUUAGAAGAGGCUCAUGAGAGGGACACAAGGGCUGGACAGUAAAUUACAGUGCACAGGACUGAAACAGAAACCCUCCUCUGCAGAUUUGGCCUCAGGGCUGCCUUUCAUGAUUUAAGACAUUUCUCACAGCUACCCUGCUGUCUUUUGAACCAGCCCCUUUACCUGUCCUGUUCCUUUAAAAGUUGCUGAUCUGCAGCGAUUAGCAGGUGGGUCCUGCUUUAGCUCCCAAGCUAUGGAAAGUUUCACCUAUUGCUUUCUGCAAGUCAAACCUCUAUUAAAGGUACAGGAGCAAGUCAGGACGUUCCUUUCUUGUGUCCCAACUUUCUUGGCCAGCUGGCAUUCCUGACUGACCGUUGCAGGAUGGAAAACUGAAGGGAAUGGCAUGUCCUGCAAGAGGGCGUGUCUGUUUGUCUGAAACCCUGAAUAGAAACGCUCUAUACGGCAACAUUUUUUGGGGUGGAAAGAGGCAGGAACGGAAAAACCCAUGCAAAAUGGUCACCGCCUGUACGCUAAAACACUGCAGAAGCCUGGGCGCAAGGCGCACACCAGUAUUUACUUGGCACCAAUGUGGUGACAGCUUCAGCAACACCCACUUGCAAAGGGAGGGUAAAACCACAAAGGGGAACCCCCCCCCCCCACAGAGAAGAAGGCUGCUGGGAUUCUUGCAGAAAAGGCUGAAUUAAUGCGUCCGGAAAAACCACUUCUUCUGUUCUUAAGCGAGUGUGCAUGCUCAGGGUCACUUAUCGCCCAUUCUGCUUUUGCUUUUAAAAGAUCACAAGCAUGCACCCUGGCUUUGUAAAUUGAAAGCACAUCUGUGGGCCACAGGAAAACCCACAUAUAUGCUUUGUUUUAAAGGAGAAGACCACUCCAAGGGAGUCCACCCCCAGGGCUAAUGUUCAAGCAUGCAUGCACGCACUAAAUUAAAAUGCUGUUGGCUUUUACUCAGAAGAAGAAGAAAGAAGAAAAUCUGGCUUUACUGAAAAACAAUCAGGCAAUACCAUGAUUCCACCUCGCAACAUUUAUGGCACCAGGCUUUGGGGUCAAAAAUAGAGUGUCUGGUUGGCAUUUGUCAACUCACUUAGAAUUGUGGAAUUGUAGAGUUAAAAGGUAGGGACGCGGGUUGCACUGUGGGUUAAACCACAGAGCCUAGGACUUGCUGAUCAGAAGGUCGGCGGUUCGAAUCCCCAUGACAGGGUGAGUUCCCGUUGCUCGGUCCCUGCUUCUGCCAACCUAGCAGUUCAAAAGCACGUCAAAGUGCAAGUAGAUAAAUGGGUACCACUCCGGUGGGAAGGUAAAUGGCGUUUCCGUGCGCUGCUCCUUCGGCCAAUAAAGCAAGAUGAGCGCCGCAACCCCAGAGUCGGUCAUGACUGGACCUAAUGGUCAGGGGUCCCUUUACCUUUACCUUUAGCGUUGAAACAUACCCCCAGGGUCAUCUAGUCCAACCCUCUGCAAUGCAGGUAUCUCAACUAAAGCAUCCAUGAGAGAUGGCCAUGAAACCUCUGCAUAAAAACCUCAAGGGAAGGAGAGUCCAACGCCUGCCAAAGGAGUCCGUUCCACUGUCAAACAGCUCACUAUCAGAAAGUUCUUCUUAGUGUUUACGUGAAAACUCCUUUCCUGUAACUUGAAUCCAUUGGUUUGAGUCCUGCCCUCCAGAGUAAGAGAAAACAAGCAUGCUCCAUCCAUGUGACAGCUCUUUAGAUCUUUGAAGAUGGCUCUCAUAUCUCCUCUCAGUACUCCUCUUUUUCAGGCUAAACAUGCCCAACUCCCUGAAUCGUUCCUCAUAAGGCUUGGUUUCCAGACACUUGAUCAUCUUGGUCGCCCUCCUCUGCACAAGUUCCAGCUUUUCAAUUGUUGUUGUUUAGUCGUGUCUGACUCUUCGUGACCCCCUGGACCACAGCACGCCAGGCACUCCUGUCUUCCACUGCCUCCCGCAGUUUGGUCAAACUCAUGCUGGUAGCUUCAAGAACACUGUCCAACCAUCUCGUCCUCUGUCGUCCCCAUCUCCUUGUGCCCUCCAUCUUUCCUGACAUCAGGGUCUUUUCCAGGGAGUCUUCUCUUCUCAUGAGGUGGCCAAAGUAUUGGGGCCUCAGCUUCAGGAUCUGUCCUUCCAGUGAGCACUCAGGGCUGAUUUCCUUCAGAAUGGAUAUGUUUGAUCUUCUUGCAGUCCAUGGGACUCUCAAGAGUCUCCUCCAAUACCAUAAUUCAAAGGCAUCAAUUCUUCAGCGAUCAGCCUUCUUUAUGGUCCAGCUCUCACUUCCAUACAUCACUACUGGGAAAACCAUAGCUUUAACUAUCCGGACCUUUGUUGGCAAGGUGAUGUCUCUGCUUUUUAAGAUGUUGUCUAGGUUUGUCAUUGCUUUUCUCCCAAGAAGCAGGCGUCUUUUAAUUUCGUGACUGCUGUCACCAUCUGCAGUGAAGCUUUUCAAUAUCCUCCUUAAAUUGAGGUGCCCAGAACUGGACACAAUAUUGCAGGUCUGACCGAGGCAGAAUAGAGUAGUACUUUUGCUUCUCUUUUUUCUGGACAAUAUACCUCUGUUGAUGCAUCCUAGAAUAGCAUUUGUUUUUGUUGUUGCUGCAUCACACUGUUGACUCAUUUUAAGCUUGUGGUCCACCAAGACCCCUAGAGCCUUUUCACACAUACUACUAGCAAGCCUCCAUCUUAUAUUUGUGCAGCUGGUUUUUCCUGCCUAAGUGUAGAGCCUUACAUUUGUCGCUAUUGAAAUUCAUUUUGUUAGUCUGGGCAGUUAAGGUCAUCUUGAAUCCCAAUUCUGUCUUCUGUGGCAUUAGCUACCCCUCCCAGUUUGGUGUCACCUGCAAGUUUGAUUAACAUCCACAGAUUUGGACUAUAAAGAAAAGACAUAAAAUCCACACAGAAACAUUUUAUUUGGACUUAAACACACUUGCAGAAUGAACGCAGAGGCUGUUGAAAAUAAUGAAGGAUUAACAUCAGAAUGUCUUAAGGGAGUUAUUGUAAUAUUUUGAAAUGCAAUAGAACUACGGGAUGAUUAGGAUUCCCUCCGAUCUCGAAGCAUGGGAAGUCAGCUAAAAAAUAAUAAUAAUUUAUAAUUAGGCAUAAAAUUGGAAUUUGUUUAAUCAUUGGAUAAUUUGGAAUAUAUAAUUUGGUUUGAUUGGAAAAUUUCAAUAAAUAUUAUUAUUAUUUUAAAAAGUUUGAUUAGCAUCCCCUCAAUUCCUUCAUCAAACUCAUUUAUAAAGAUGUUGAACAGCAACAGGCUCAGGACAGAACCCCACAACACCCUACUUGUCAUUUUUUCCAAGAUGACAAGAAACCAUUAGUGAACACUCUUUGAGUUCGGUCAGUCAACUAGCCACAAAUCCACCUUACAGUAACCUCCUCCAGCACACAUUUUACCAACUUAUCCACAAGAAUAAUGGGGGAGUUUGUCAAACACCUUCCUGAAAUCAAGAUACGUUGUGUCCACAGCAUUUCCCUAACCCACCAAAAAAAGAAAUGAGAUUUGUCUGGCAUAACUUGUUUGAGAAAGCCAUGCUGGGUCUUGAUAAUCACAGCAUCCUUUUCUAAGUGCUCACAGAUUGAGUGUUUAAUUAUCUGGUCUAGGACCUUUCCUGGUAUCAAUGUCAAGCUCACCUGUGUCUUCCUUUUUCCCUUUUUUGAAGACGGGGACAUUUGCCCAUAGGGAAACUCACCUGUUCUCCAAGAAUUCUCAAAGAUAAUAGACAGAGGCUCUGAGAUUAAACGCUGAAGGCAGAGAGAAUUUAAAGAAAAAGUCCCAGAUGGAGCAUUCACACAAGUAUGGAAUGUUCAGUGCCAGUUGGAAUGGAGUAGCCUAGAGUUGGGCAUGGAUUGCAGGCUGGGAUCUUGGACGGAAGCACUGCUGAUAGAAAGUAAGGAUAUACUGCAACGUUUUGUUGUAGGUUCUAGCUGUGUGCUGAUGUUCUUGGGAAGUUUCCUGUGCUAUCAAAUGCAGCUGCCCAUUCUCACUUGCUACCUCUUUUGCCUGAAACGCCACCCCCUUUGUGAAGCCAACCGCCCCCUUUCCCAUGCUUCCUGUAAAACUCACCUUUUCAGAGAAGCCUGAACUUAAAUGAAGCCCAGGUGCUUAUUGCUGCUUCUGUGCACAUUCACCACUCAUAAAGCUUGAUUGUUCAAUUCCAUCCUUCUCUAGGCCCCCUCUUGUUAGCUCUGCCCACUGUCAGGAUUUAGAUUGACAGCGUGCUCAGUCUUUUUGCUUGUAAUACUCUUGUGAAGUGCUAUAUACACAACACUAAUAACUAUUCCCCAAAUUCCACUGGGUCAUCCCUCAACUAUAUCGGGCAAGCCUAAACACCUGGCAUCUCUACAUCCCUCACUUCAUUCAUUCAUUCAUUGUGAGUUGUUAAUCACCUUAUAUGGAAUGUUAUAUAUACGGUAGCUUCAGUCAUAUUCCACUGGAUGGCUCAGUUGGUUAGAGUGUAGUGCUGAUGACACCUAGUUUGCAGGUUCGAUCCCCAUAAGGAAUAGUUACAUAUUCCUGCAUUGCAGGGGGUAGGACUGGAUGUUCCUUGGGGUCCCUUCCAACUCCAUGAUUUUAUGAACCCAGUUUCAAGGUGAUGCACCAUCUUAAGAAUAAAAGGUAAAGGUAAAGGGACCCCUGACCAUUAGGUCCAGUCAUGACCGACUCUGGGGUUGUGGCGCUCAUCUCGCUUUAUUGGCCGAGGGAGCCAGCGUGCAGCUUCCGGGUCAUGUGGCCAGCAUGACUAAGCCACUUCUGGCGUACCAGAGCAACGCACGGAAACGCUGUUUACCUUCCCGCCAGAGCAGUACCUAUUUAUCUACUUGCACUCUGACGUGCUUUCAAACUGCUAGGUUGCCAGGAGCAGGGACCGAGCAACGGGAGCUCACCCCGUCGCGGGGAUUUGAACCGCCGACCUUCUGAUCGGCAAGUCCUAGGCUCUGUGGUUUAACCCACAGCGCCACCCGCGUCCCUAUCUUAAGAAUAGUAUCCAUGAAUUACAAAAUGUAGUAGUUAAAACACAAUGAAGAAAUGUACUAUGACUAUCAUAUCAAUAACUUAUCACACAACAAAUAAUUUCCAGAAUAUUAAGGGAGAGAAAUUGUCCAUGCAUAUUAAAAUAUCUUUGCAGAAAACAGCGGGAGGGGCAAAAUUAUCACUCCCCUAACCAGCACAGUUCCAGUGUUGCUGUUUCAUGCAUAUCAUAUACAUGUGUGUACGCAUACAUACAACCGCGUAACCUGCAUAAAUGCCGGCUGGCAACACUUGCCAGGAAGAGUCAGUCCUCUGGAAUAUGCCCCUGAGUUGCAUCAGGCCUAGCAGAUGCCGGGUGUUCCUCAGGCCAAUAGAUGGCGCCCUCUGCACAAGGCAGCUCUUAGCAGCCAGGGAAGGUGGGGGAAGCGACUUCCACGCAGCAGCUGGAAGAAAACCUUAACCCUUCCUGUUUCUCAGCUGUGCUGAGAGCAACACAAUUUUUCAGGGCUUGCAGAGCAAAGGAAAGUCAGUGGAACUAGAUGCCAACCCUCCCACAGGAAGGGGAAUUAGGUAGGUGGGACCCUUUUCUACCUGUGCAUAGCUGCACACACCUCUUGCCAAAGUUAUCUGUCCUGCGGAUCUCUUGAAUUUAAUAAAUAAAAAUAAAGCCAUGGGAGUCUGCUCUUCUUUUGCAGCUGGGCACCCUGUCAGCAGUUGCCUUGAUGAAGUUGAGCCUCUGAAGCUUAGAUCUGGGAAUCACUGGCCAGCCCUGGAAUAGCAUGCCAUGCAAGAACAAUAUCUGUGCCACCGCAAGCCCCCUGGAGGAAGGUUACAGCACACAGAACCAUUUCCCCUUAUUUCAAAUGUUCAGGUGUGAGUGCCAUUGUUUAUACAGCCGAAACAGCUCGACCCACAAAAGGGAGAUGUCGGCAGACAUGGAGAAAUCCUGAGAUCUGCAGUAGAACAAGUAUAUAUAUUUUGGAGGAAGACAAAGCUAAAUCAUAAGGGUGGGAUAAAACCCCAACGUAGUCCAACUGAGCAUGCUUAGUUGCUACAGAAUGAUGACUCGUCGGGAUGGAAUGAAGUAAGUUGGAGAGGGCAUGGCUUACUGACUCGAACAUGCCAUGCUGCAACAUUUUGUUGCAGCAGGACACCUUUGUACAUGCAAUUUCAGAAGCGGUAUACGAACUUCUCAACUCUUAAGUGGCACUGCCAGCAGCCAAGUCAUGCUGAAAAAAGAAAGUUGUGAGAAAAUGAGGUGCUUUCAGGGUACUCAAGCAGUGACCCAUUACAUCCUGUGCUAUUUAGGCAAAUACACUUUGCUUAUGCUCAGAGGGGCACUUUAAUUCCCCCCCACACACACACAUUCUAGAAUGGAAUACUUGUACUAAAAAUAGAUCUCAAGGGCAAAGCUCUGGCUCAGCCCGAAGCCUGAAUUUUAACAGGAACGAGAAGGGCUGUCUCCAAUUCUUGCAUGUCAUGACUGAUAAUGGCGAGCGUUUGUUCUCUUAUUCUGUUAUCUUACUGCAGGGGCUGGAGGCAGUGUGCUUCUGCAGAUCAGUUGCUGGAAACUGCAGGAGGGGAGAGGCCUGUGCGUAAGCUCCUGUUUGUGGGCUUCCCAUGGGCAUCUAGUUGGCCACUGUGAGAACAGGAUGCUAGACUAGGUGGGCCACCGAUCCAAUCCCCUGGGGUUAUUUGAAUGUUCUUAUCUUGAGAACUUCACAGCGUACAGAACAGUUGCAUUCAUAUCCAAAUGCGGUGGGGAACCAGGGACCCUCCAGAUGUUAUUGGUCUCCAAAUCCUAUCAACCUCAGCCAGCAUGGCUGAUAGUCAAGGAUGUUGGGAGUUGCAGUCCAACAACAUUCGGAGGGGGGCAUAGCUGUCAACUGUCCCUUAUUUGGCAGGAAACUCCCUUAUCCUAGCGCCGUGUCCCGCUACUGUCCCGGAUUGAUGAUGUCCCUUAAAUUCCCCGGGUUUCAUGCUCGCCCGGCUCAGGAGGGAAGCAGCAGCUCAGGGUCUUCCGCCGCGCACGAGAGAGCGUGCACGAGCUGCCGCGUCUCCGUCUCUCCCCUUUCCCCCUCAGGGGGGCAUCGUGAGGAGACGGGUGGCGGCAGGCGGGCAGGCAGCCCCUCUCUUGCGAGACUUCUGCCGCGCUGCCAGGGGAAGCCAGAGGCGGCUGAGGAGGCGGCCUGAGGGAGGAGGAAGAGGAGGGGAUGGGGAAGGACGCAGAAGGGUGGCGCUUCAGCGGCCGCCACGGCACUGCAAUUGCCUCAUGCCGGGCUCGUGGGCGAGAGUCUCUCUUCCCCCCUCCCUCUCUCUCGGGUGGGGAAGGGCCGAUGGAACUCCUCGCGCCAGGACGACGGCAGCCCCGACGUGCAUAUCCCUUAUUUGGGCUGCUGAUCCCUUAUUUUCAAGGCUGCUGGUCCCUUAUUUUCAAAUCUGUAAGUUGACAUGGGGGGGCAGGUUCCCCACUUCUGAUAUACCACCGGCAGAUCAUCGCAAAAUAACACAAGGAGGAACACAACCUUCUCCACUCUAUUCACACACCAUGUAUUUCUACUAAAGUCUAUUUUGUCAUCACCUCUUUAUUCCACUUUUCCUCCAAGGAGCUCAAGGUGGCAUAUAUAUGUCCCUUCAUUCUGUCCUCACGACGACCCUGGAAGGUAGGUUGGACUGAGAGAUGAGAAUGACUGGUCCAAGCACACUGAGUGAGCUUUGUGGCUCUGUGAGAAAAUUGACUCUCCCUUGUGUUGUUUUUAACUCCUCUAACAGCUACACCCCAUAUGCCAGACUUGUAACCCAGAUAUUGCACCACCUUUACCUUUAACAAUGCAUAGCCAGGGGAAGAUGGGGCUCCCUGCCCAGUUCCUUCCAUCACCCAUCCUUCUCUCUGCAAAACUGGGGUUCUGCUUGGUUUAAUAGACAAACUUGUUUCAGCCAUCCUUUUACAAAGACGGUGAUAUAAACAUGUGGAUUUCAUAGGUCACUAGAAUGCCCAAAGCAUUUUUCAUUCAUUAGCUCACCCGUCCUUAGCACAGCCCUGCAAGGUAGGUCAGUAUUAUGUCGUCCCCCAUUUUGCAGAUGUGGGGGGUGGCAGCUAGUGCAAAUCCUUCAGGCAGGACCAAGUCAGCAUUCCAGUCCUUUCCUACAGCUGCGCAAAGCUGGACUGGCGUCAGCUGCUCUCAGGAUGGCGUAUUGAUUUUUGGAAACAGUUCAUUUAUAACCAUUGGGUAGUUGAACUUUCACCCUGUCAUUUCCUCCUGAUGUUUCUGGGAAUUGCUGGAGAGAAGGCUUUGGGGCUUAUUUAACAGGAGGUUACAGGAGCCGAGCAACAGCAAGCAAGGCAUGUUGGUGGUUUAACACACACUUGCCUUCCUGGAGAGGGUUUGGCGAGGGCAGCCAGCCCAGGCAGAAGGUGGCACCGGCUACAGGCUUGGCUGGAGGAAAACUGACAAAGUGGGAGUUUAGCCACAGGCCAGCAUUAUUAUUCUUUGCCAGUUUGGUUUAGUUUUUAGCCACAGGUGGGCUUAGCCCAUGUCCGGGAUUUCCAUUGUUCUAUACAGCUCAGCAAGUAGAUGCCAAACUGAAAAAUCUGCGUGCCAAAUGGCAAAAGCUCUUUGCAGGCUGAGUUGAGAGAUCUUAAUGGGUGUUAGAAGAUUUCACUUGAAGGUGCUUUGACAUUUAUAGAUGAAUUUGUAUAUCUAUAUUUAGCUGUAUAAGCAGUGAUGGCUGGAGCACAUUGAGGCUGGUAGAGUGGAAAGCGGGGAGCUCAACAGAAGGUGAAAUCAAAGACAAUGACAAGCAGUGCCACUCCCUGGGCCUGCUGUAAGUAAGAAGACAGGCAGGUGGUGGCUGGCUGAGGACAGACUGAGGCUGGUGGAGCAGUGCCCCAUUUGCCCCUAAUAAACUUGCCCUGCAUAUAAUGCAAUUCUCUUUAGCCCAGGGAUGAGCAACUUGGGGCUCUUCAAGAUGUCAGGCAAAGGUAAAGGUAAAAGUAAAGGUACCCCUGACCAUUAGGUCCAGUCGUGGCAGACUCUGGGGUUGCGGUGCUCAUCUCGCUUUAUUGGCCGAGGGAGCCGGUGUACAGCUUCCGGGUCAUGUGGCCAGCAUGACUAAGCCGCUUCUGGCGAACCAGAGCAGCGCACGGAAAUGCCAUUUAUCUUCCCGCCGGAGUGGUACCUAUUUAUCUACUUGCACUUUGACGUGCUUUCGAACUGCUAGGUUGGCAGGAGCAGGGACCGAGCAAUGGGAGCUCACCCUGUUGCGGGAAUUCGAACCGCAGACCUUCUGAUUGGCAAGCCCUAGGCUCUAUGGUUUAACCCACAGCACCACCCACUGGAUUGCAACUCCCAUCAGCCUCAGUCAGCACUGUCAAGGGAGAGGGGUGAUGGGAGUUGUAGUCCAACAACAUCUGGAAGGCCGCAGGAUCCCCAUUCCUGCUCUAGGAGACACUGCGCUGAACAGAGUCCUUAAAAACCCCCCAAUAAGGUUAUGGAGAUCUUCCAAAGCAGACCAGACAAGCACCUGCCUAGGAUGUUGGGACAGGGAUCCUUAUACUCUAGAAUACAGAGCCAGAGGCAUGGGAUACAUAUAACCUGUUUGCUCUGUUCGGCCAAGUUUUGACACAAGCUGCUGCCUUAAACGGAUGUUUGGUUCCAUUUAGCCCAGCUCUCCAAGAUUGCAAGCAAAGGUCUUUCCUCGUGCUGUUACUGCUGAGAUGCUUUUAAUUAGGUGCUAGGGAUCGAGUCUGUCAGACAAAGCACCUGCCCAGUGCUGGGCUAGUCUCCUUCAGCCAGAUGUCCUUUCGCUCAUCAGAAGGCCUGUCAUUACCUUGGGAUGGCACAAGCCAGGAGGAACCGCUCUCGAGAGGCCAGCAGGGUAUCUGCACCUUCAAAAUAUUUGUGUCUCAGAGUGACUCACAGCUCUGAUCCUUUGAACACCUACUUGAUGCUAGCAACCCUGCACACAAGAGGCCAUUGCUGGGGAGAGGGGAGUCUGUUACGACAGAACUGAUAAGGCCUGAGUGUUGACAGAAGCAAUAACGAGGCCUGUCCACUUCUGCUCAUUAUCAGGUGGCGGCAGGGAUUAUUCUGGAAUGCAAAGGGAGCGAAGGCAGCAUGUGCAGAUCAACACGCUCUUCAUUCCCUGGAUUCUCUCCGUUAUGAGGACCUUUGGAGAAUGAGAACUGCUGCGGAGUCCUGACUUGGGAGAGGGGAAUCCCAUCAUUUAACAAUGCUAGCUGCAUUCUUCACACAUGGGCAGCUUGGGUGCAGU
Podarcis lilfordi (Lilford's wall lizard) is the source of this 22326-nucleotide non-coding RNA. The record is from the annotation of a GenBank genome assembly. NCBI's taxonomy places the organism in Eukaryota, Metazoa, Chordata, Lepidosauria, Squamata, Lacertidae.